Molecule: microRNA precursor, 91 nt
Organism: Cercocebus atys (sooty mangabey)
Lineage: Eukaryota; Metazoa; Chordata; Mammalia; Primates; Cercopithecidae
Source: Ensembl
GAGGUGGGAGCAUUACUUGAGCCUAGGAGGUUGAGGCUGCAGUGAGCCAUGAUCAUGCCACUGCACUCCAGCCUGAGUGACAGAGCAAGAC